GAUAAACGCUGGCGGCGCACAUAAGACAUGCAAGUUGAACGGACUUAAUCGAAAUAUUUAUAUUUUGAAGCGGGUAGUGGCGGACUGGUGCGUAACGCCUAAGGAACCUGCCUAUUAGAGGGGAAUAACAGUGAGAAAUCAUUGCUAAUACCGCAUAUGCCAUAGAUAUCACUUUAUAACAGUGAGAAAAUAGCAAUCCGCUAAUAGAUGGCCUUGCGUCUGUUUAGAUAGUUGGUGGGGUAACGGCCUACCAAGUCGACGAUCAGUAGCAGGUCUGAGAAGAUGAGCGGCCACAUUGGGACUGAGGUACGGCUCAGACAUCUACGGGAGGCAGCAGUAGGGAAUAUUGCGCAAGGGAGGAAACUCUGACGCAGUGACGGAGCGUAUAGGAAGAAGGUUUUCGGAUUAUAAACUAUUGUCGUUAGGGAAGAGAAAGGACGGUACCUAAGGAGGAAGCUCCGGCUAACUACGUG
Molecule: ribosomal RNA, 473 nt
Filed under: uncultured bacterium
Lineage: Bacteria
Description: partial 16S ribosomal RNA
Rfam family: Bacterial small subunit ribosomal RNA
Source: RNAcentral